This is a non-coding RNA of Cinara cedri, 307 nucleotides long. The record is from the annotation of a GenBank genome assembly. Lineage: Eukaryota; Metazoa; Arthropoda; Insecta; Hemiptera; Aphididae.
UAUAUGUUGUGUUGAUGCUAUUAUUAUAUCACGAACACUCGUUUCGAAUUUAACAAAUCGAAUUAAGAUACGUUUACACUGAUAGGAGUUCGCAUAAACAUUAUAUUAUUUUAUAAUUAAUAAAAACAGCUUAUGACCGAGAUAGCUAUAGAAUGAAAUAUAAGAAUCAAGGUGGUCGAGUUAUCAAGGAAGUUCCGAACGCCUAUAACUAUUUGAUAUACGUAACCAUUUGACCGUGGCUACUAUUAUAAACCGUACAGGUGAUCUAUUUAUCAUGAAGAAACGAUUUCAUUUUUUGUUUUCAAUU